CCUACGGGAGGCAGCAGUGAGGAAUAUUGGUCAAUGGACGAGAGUCUGAACCAGCCAAGUAGCGUGAAGGAUGACUGCCCUAUGGGUUGUAAACUUCUUUUAUAGAGGAAUAAAGCUAGCCACGUGUGCCUUUUUGCAUGUACUCUAUGAAUAAGCAUCGGCUAACUCCGUGCCAGCAGCCGCGGUAAUACGGAGGAUCCGAGCGUUAUCCGGAUUUAUUGGGUUUAAAGGGUGCGUAGGUUGGUUGUUAAGUCAGCUGUGAAAGUUUGUGGCUCAACCAUAAAAUUGCAGUUGAAACUGGAAGACUUGAGUGUAGUUGAGGUAGGCGGAAUGCGUGGUGUAGCGGUGAAAUGCAUAGAUAUCACGAAGAACCCCGAUUGCGAAGGCAGCUUACUAAGCUGUAACUGACAUUGAUGCACGAAAGUGUGGGUAUCAAACAGGAUUAGAUACCCGUGUAGUC
This 460-nucleotide ribosomal RNA is filed under the name uncultured bacterium. Its description in RNAcentral is "partial 16S ribosomal RNA". It matches the Rfam family "Bacterial small subunit ribosomal RNA", at positions 338 to 795 of the family's 1533-position model. The record is from RNAcentral.